UCCAAGGAAGGCAGCAGGCGCGCAAAUUACCCAAUCCUGACACAGGGAGUAGUGACAAUAUAUAACGAUACAGGGCCAUUGGUCUUGUAAUUGGAAUGAGUACAAUGUAAAUACCUUAACGAGGAACAAUUGGAGGGCAAGUCUGGUGCCAGCAGCCGCGGUAAAUUUCCAGCUCCAGAUGCGUAUAUUAAGUGUGUUGCAGUUAAAAAGCUCGUAGUUGAACUUUGGGCCUGGGCGGGGCGGUCUACCUAUGGUAAGUAACGGUUGCGGCCGGGUCUUGUGCCCUUCUGGCGACAGCUUCGGAAGUGAACCAGAGAACGAUUACUUUGAGGAAAUUAGAGUGGUGUUCAAAGCAGGCCUUUGCCUCGGAUAAUAUUAGCAUGGAAAAUAAUAGAAUAGGACGUUAUGGUGCCUAUUUUGUUGGUUUCUAGACCAUCGUAUGAUUAAUAGGGACGGUCGGGGGCAUCAGUAUUCAGUUGUCAGAGGUGAAAUUCUUGGAUUAACUGAAAGACUAACUACUGCGAAAGCAUUUGCCAAGGACGUUUUCAUUAAUCAAGAACGAAAGUUAGGGGAUCGAAGAUGAUCAGAUACCGUCGUAGUCCUUAAACUACCAUAAACUAUGCCGACUAAGGGAUCGGGUGGCGCUUCUUGCCCACUCGGCACCUUACGAGAAUCAAAGUCUUUGGGUUCUGGGGGGAGUAUGGUUGCAAGGCUGAAACUUAAAGGAAUUGAACGGAAGGGCACCACAGAGUGGAGCUGCGGCUUAAUUUGACUCAAACACGGGGAACUCACCAGGUCCAGACGUAAUAAGGAUUGACAAGCUAGAGACUUCUCUUGAUCUUACGGGUGGUGGUGCAUGGCCGUUUUUAGUCCUUGGAGUGAUUUUGUCUGCUUAAUUGCGAUAACGGAACGAGACCUUAACCUGCUAAAUAGGGCUGCGAGCAUCUGCUCGUGGGCUCUUCUUAGAGGGACUAUGGGUUUCAAACCCAUGGAAGUUUGAGGCAACAACAGUCUGUGAUGCCUUAGGACGUUCUGGGCCGCACGCGCGCUACACUGACGGAGCCAGCAAGUAUAUCCUUGGUCGAGAGGCCCGGGUAAUCUCGUGAAACUCCGUCGUGCUGGGGAUAGAGCAUUGUAAUUUUUGCUCUUCAACGAGGAAUUCCUAGUAAGCGCAAGUCAUCAGCUUGCGUUGAUUACGUCCCUGCCCUUUGUACACACCGCCCGUCGCUACUACCGAUUGAAUGGCUUAGUGAGGCUCCAAGAUUGGCGCCGCGGGAGGGGCAACUUUCCCAUGGCGCUGAAAUUCAGUCAAACUGGUCAUUUAGAGGUCGUAAAAGUCGUAACAAGGUUUUCCGUAGGUGAACCUGCGGAAG
Molecule: ribosomal RNA, 1373 nt
Filed under: Pichia kluyveri
Lineage: Eukaryota; Fungi; Ascomycota; Pichiomycetes; Pichiales; Pichiaceae
Description: SSU rRNA
Rfam family: Eukaryotic small subunit ribosomal RNA
Source: RNAcentral